AGUAAGUCAGAUGGUUGCGGGAGAAUUGUUUCUCACGAGGAAAGUCCGGGCUUCGCAGGGCAAGGGUGCCGGGUAACUCCCGGUGGAGGCGACUCUAAGGACAGUGCAACAGAAAUAGACUUCCUGCACAGCUUUUCAAAAGAAUUGAACCGCACUUUGUGCGUGCCUGUGCAGGUAAAGGUGGAAAGGCGAGGUAAGAGCUCACCGGCGCUGCGGCGACGCUGCGGCCAUGUAAACCCCAUCCGAAGCAACACCGUAUUGGCUUACGCAGGUUUAGCCGGCCCGGCAUGCCUGUGUUUGGCGGUGGCUUGAGCUGUGCAGUAAUGUACGGCCUAGACAGAUAAUCAUCGAAUACAGAACCCGGCUUACAGAUUUGCUCAA
Molecule: RNase P RNA, 381 nt
Filed under: human gut metagenome
Description: Bacterial RNase P class A
Rfam family: Bacterial RNase P class A
About the family: Ribonuclease P (RNase P) is a ubiquitous endoribonuclease, found in archaea, bacteria and eukarya as well as chloroplasts and mitochondria. Its best characterised activity is the generation of mature 5'-ends of tRNAs by cleaving the 5'-leader elements of precursor-tRNAs.
Source: RNAcentral